GUGCAGCAGGCGCGAAACCUCCGCAAUGCGGGAAACCGCGACGGGGUCACCCCGAGUGCCGCCCUAACGGGUGGCUGUGGCCCGGUGUAAACAGCCGGGCUUAGAAAGGGGAGGGCAAGGCUGGUGCCAGCCGCCGCGGUAAAAACCCAGCUCCUCGAGUGGUCGGGGUGAUUAUUGGGCCUAAAGCGUCCGUAGCCGGCCCCGUAAGUCCUCGGUUAAAUCCUACGGCCUAACCGUGGGACUGCCGAGGAUACUGCGGGGCUUGGGGGC
Molecule: ribosomal RNA, 270 nt
Filed under: uncultured microorganism
Description: partial 16S ribosomal RNA
Rfam family: Archaeal small subunit ribosomal RNA
Source: RNAcentral